This 1393-nucleotide long non-coding RNA is filed under the name Homo sapiens (human). The record is from RNAcentral. Lineage: Eukaryota; Metazoa; Chordata; Mammalia; Primates; Hominidae.
AACCAUUUCUGAGUUUUUCUGGUUAUUUUAAAGAGGGUAGAACUGAACUCACAUCAAAGCCUUUACAGUAAACACCAUGUAUCCCCUCUUAAUUGCAAAGCUGGCCUAUAUAUUUUUUUAAGAUAAAGGAAAAGCAAACAGUGAUCCCUUUCUAAGUUUGCAGUUCACAAUGAACCUUACCAAGUAGUUGGAAUGAACUGUAGUCCAGUUACUUACUGCAUUGGGUACAAUACAUGCUUGUGUACACCCUGGAUUGCUUGUGUUUUUCCUUUUCAGGAUUUUUGCUUUGUUUUCAAAGUACACUUCUCUGAUAUUUAUUUUAAAUUUACUUCACAUACUGUUUUUUUGCAAUGGAAUCUCACUAUGUUGCCCAGACUAGUCUCAAACUCCUGGGCUCAAAGGAUCCUCCUGCCUCAGCCUCCCAAGUAGCUGAGAUUACAGGCACACACCACUGUCCCAGCAGUUCUCUGAUAUUUAGAAGCAUUGAGAUAUGGAAUGUGAUCUGCCUGUGAUUUUCUUUCCAGUGAGAAUGGCUCAGGUGUUUGCUGUUUGGUAGAGCCUACCCAAUCAUUGAAGGCAGUAGAGUUGAAGCAUGGUUUUACCUGAAAAAUGUGCAAUGGCACUAUCCUGGCUCACCACAACCUCCACCUCCUGGGUUCAAGCAAUUCUCCUGCCUCUGCCUACCAAGCAGCUGGUAUUACAGGCAUGCACCACCACACCCAGCUAAUUUUGUAUUUUUAGUAGAGACAGGGUUUCUUAGUGUUGGUCAGGCUGGUCUCUAACUCCUGACCUCAGGUGAUCUGCCCACCUAGGCCUCCCAAAGUGCUGGGAUUACAGGCAUGAGCCACUGUGCCUGGCCAUCUGAAAAGCACUUUCUAUGCUUAUAUUGGCAGCACAUAUACUAAAAUUGGAAUGAUACAGAGAAGAUUAGCAUGGCCCCUGCUCAAGGAUGACAUGUAAAUUUAUGAAGCAUUUCAUAUUUUGUAACUUUAAAAAAAAAAAAAGGCACUUUCUAGGGGUGGCAAUCAGAAUGUCUGUGUGUUUUUUAAGUGCCUCAAGCCUCCUGUCAGACUCAUUUCUCCCUUUGAGGCCUGUGAAGUAAGCACCCCAGAAGCACACUUAUAAUUGCUGAUGACAUCUUUUUAAGCUAUUCAAUAAAUUAUGAGGAAGUGCAGGUUUCCCCACAGCUAAACUUCUUUUAUUUGCUAAGGACCAUAUAUUGUCCAUCUCCAAAUCAACAGAUAUUUGUUUUUCUGCAAAACACAAAAGACUACUUGUGUAAAACAGAAUUGGAUUUUUAACUGUCAGUUUUCCUGAAAAUUAUCUUUUAAUUUUUUUUCUGAUUGUGCUAUUUUUCUCCACAAUAAAGAGAAAGGGUUCCCCUGACUCACUG